Molecule: non-coding RNA, 86 nt
Organism: Trichonephila clavipes
Lineage: Eukaryota; Metazoa; Arthropoda; Arachnida; Araneae; Nephilidae
Source: the annotation of a GenBank genome assembly
GUCCCUGUAGCUCAGUUGUCACACAGUCCCUCUAGAGCGUUGGACUUCUAAUCCAAAGGUCGUCGGUUCAAAUCCCACCUGGGAUG